Molecule: ribosomal RNA, 254 nt
Filed under: uncultured bacterium
Lineage: Bacteria
Description: partial 16S ribosomal RNA
Rfam family: Bacterial small subunit ribosomal RNA
Source: RNAcentral
UACGUAGGGUGCGAGCGUUGUCCGGAAUUAUUGGGCGUAAAGAGCUCGUAGGCGGUCUGUCGCGUCGGUCGUGAAAACUUGGGGCUUAACCCUGAGCUUGCGGUCGAUACGGGCGUGACUGGAGUUCGGCAGGGGAGACUGGAAUUCCUGGUGUAGCGGUGAAAUGCGCAGAUAUCAGGAGGAACACCGGUGGCGAAGGCGGCGACCUGGGUCGAUACUGACGCUGAGGUGCGAAAGCGUGGGGAGCAAACAGG